Molecule: ribosomal RNA, 358 nt
Filed under: uncultured Streptococcus sp.
Lineage: Bacteria; Bacillati; Bacillota; Bacilli; Lactobacillales; Streptococcaceae
Description: bacterial SSU rRNA
Rfam family: Bacterial small subunit ribosomal RNA
Source: RNAcentral
CAUCGGUGGACAGGUGGUGGCAUGGUUGUCGUCAGCUCGUGUCGUGAGAUGUUGGGUUAAGUCCCGCAACCGAGCGCAACCCCUAUUGUUAGUUGCCAUCAUUCAGUUGGGCACUCUAGCGAGACUGCCGGUAAUAAACCGGAGGAAGGUGGGGAUGACGUCAAAUCAUCAUGCCCCUUAUGACCUGGGCUACACACGUGCUACAAUGGUUGGUACAACGAGUUGCGAGUCGGUGACGGCGAGCUAAUCUCUUAAAGCCAAUCUCAGUUCGGAUUGUAGGCUGCAACUCGCCUACAUGAAGUCGGAAUCGCUAGUAAUCGCGGAUCAGCACGCCGCGGUCGAAUACGUUCCGGGCCUU